Molecule: long non-coding RNA, 286 nt
Organism: Corythoichthys intestinalis (scribbled pipefish)
Lineage: Eukaryota; Metazoa; Chordata; Actinopteri; Syngnathiformes; Syngnathidae
Exons: 4
Source: RefSeq, a predicted model, not a curated record
CGACGGAUGUCAGAGGACUGGUAACUCUUUGGCUAUGUGUGACACAGCCAUUACAAAGCAUUAAGGUGUCUGCUGUUUGGGAGUUGGUUGGGAUAGACCUGACUGGGCCUCUCCCAAAAACCAAGGAUGGCUUUCAGUACAUUCUUACUGCCACCGAUUAUUUUUCCAAACACAGAUGCCCCCAAAGAAUCCUGUCCGACCAAGGAAGAGAAUUUGUCAAUUAGCUCAACGAUAACCUUUGUGCCCUCCUGUGCAUUGAAAGGAGUGUUACAGCUGCAUAUCAUCC